UGUCCCAGAGUUAUAUUGUCUGGUUCAAAACAAACUGCUUAUUUACAUAUUCUACUAUUUUUUUCAAUGUCAAAUUCAAUUCAAAAAAGUUUAUGCUCCCCCAAAGAGAUGCAAAGUCACGUUGUCUUUCUUCCUCUUCUUUUGUCUUAUCCACUUUCUCUUCCUUUUCUAUUAUGUUCUCUCUUUCGCUGCCUCUCUCUUCAUGUGUUUUUUUCUUCUCUCUUCCACUGCUUCUGUCUUCCUAUUCUUCUUUCUUCUCUUCCUUUUCUUCAACAAAAACAAUCGGGUUGUGGGACGAUUUGCAGAUAUAUAGAAAUUAAAGUUUUUUGAGAUUUAUACUCUUUUGUUUUGACCUAAGAUUGUUGGUGUUGUAGGAAUGAGGAAGAUGGCGGCGGCUAUGACGUUUCCGGCGAUUUUUCAAUGAUAUACAAUAUCGCGGUGGUAGAUCUCUGGUGGAUCUUGGUAAAAAAGGGACUUGAGCUUGUCUUCUGCUUUGAUGGCUAUGAAAUACUAGACUAAUGCAUUCAUUUUGUAAAAAAGGCUACUGGAGAUGGAGUAUUGGAUUAGAGAUGACGAUUUUGAGUUUAUUAGGCUUUUAUGCUUCUCUUAAAUGAUCUAUUUGCAUGUAUAUUGGUUGUAUAUAAAGGAGUUGUGUGUGAUUACUUUGGACUAUUGUGAUGGUUGUUAAGAGUCCCAUAUCGGAUAAUAUAUGGUUUGAACAUGUGUUUAUAAGUGGGGGAAGUCCUCGCUCUAUCAAAUAUGGUUUGUUUAAAUGUC
Long non-coding RNA from Lathyrus oleraceus (garden pea), 777 nucleotides. RefSeq lists it as uncharacterized. The record is from RefSeq and is a predicted model, not a curated record. The transcript is spliced from 2 exons. Lineage: Eukaryota; Viridiplantae; Streptophyta; Magnoliopsida; Fabales; Fabaceae.